This 201-nucleotide unclassified non-coding RNA is filed under the name plant metagenome. RNAcentral's name for it is "partial contains small subunit ribosomal RNA, internal transcribed spacer 1, and 5.8S ribosomal RNA". The record is from RNAcentral.
UCUCCGUUGGUGAACCGGCGGAGGGAUCAUUAUCGAGUUUAUAACUCCCAAACCCCAUGUGAACUUACCACUUGUUGCUUCGGCGCGCGCUUCGGUGCCGCCGAGGACACUUAAACUCUUUGUUUUUAUAAGCAUUUCUGAGUGGCCGAAAGGCAAAAUACAAAUGAAUCAAAACUUUCAACAACGGAUCUCUUGGUUCUG